Molecule: ribosomal RNA, 495 nt
Filed under: uncultured bacterium
Lineage: Bacteria
Description: partial 16S ribosomal RNA
Rfam family: Bacterial small subunit ribosomal RNA
Source: RNAcentral
GACGAACGCUGGCGGCGUGCCUAAUACAUGCAAGUAGAACGCUGGAGGAGGAGCUUGCUUCUCUGGAUGAGUUGCGAACGGGUGAGUAACGCGUAGGUAACCUGCCUGGUAGCGGGGGAUAACUAUUGGAAACGAUAGCUAAUACCGCAUAAUAGCAGUUGUUGCAUGAUAACUGUUUGAAAGGUGCAAUUGCACCACUACCAGAUGGACCUGCGUUGUAUUAGCUAGUUGGUGGGGUAACGGCUCACCAAGGCGACGAUACAUAGCCGACCUGAGAGGGUGAUCGGCCACACUGGGACUGAGACCCGGCCCAGACUCCUACGGGAGGCAGCAGUAGGGAAUCUUCGGCAAUGGACGGAAGGCUGACCGAGCAACGCCGCGUGAGUGAAGAAGGUUUUCGGAUCGUAAAGCUCUGUUGUAAGAGAAGAACGAGUGUGAGAGUGGAAAGUUCACACUGUGACGGUAUCUUACCAGAAAGGGACGGCUAACUACGUG